GAUGAACGCUAGCUACAGGCUUAACACAUGCAAGUCGAGGGGCAGCAUGAACUUAGCUUGCUAAGUUUGAUGGCGACCGGCGCACGGGCGAGUAACGCGUAUCCAACCUGCCCUUGUCCACCGGAUAACCCGUCGAAAGGCGGACUAACACGGUAUGCAGUCCACAGCAGGCAUCUAACGUGGCCGAAAUGUAAAGGAGAAGGAUGGGGAUGCGUCGGAUUAGGUUGUUGGCGGGGUAACGGCCCACCAAGGCGACGAUCAGUAGGGGUUCUGAGAGGAAGGUCCCCCACAUUGGAACUGAGACACGGUCCAAACUCCUACGGGAGGCAGCAGUGAGGAAUAUUGGUCAAUGGACGGAAGUCUGAACCAGCCAAGUAGCGUGCAGGAUGACGGCCCUAUGGGUUGUAAACUGCUUUUAUAUGGGGAUAAAGUGAGCCACGUGUGGCUUAUUGCAGGUACCAUAUGAAUAAGGACCGGCUAAUUCCGUGCCAGCCGCCGCAGUAA
This 504-nucleotide ribosomal RNA is filed under the name uncultured bacterium. Its description in RNAcentral is "partial 16S ribosomal RNA". It matches the Rfam family "Bacterial small subunit ribosomal RNA", at positions 28 to 523 of the family's 1533-position model. The record is from RNAcentral.